AACCUGCCACCAUCUUUAACAAAAUAAACAUUUAGUAGCAUUAUGCUCUUAUAACAUAGAGUUUUUUCUUGACUAGUUGUAGUCUCUUGCAUAAUCUCUGCGUAUCCUAGGAUUGACUUUCUGCUUGAAUGCUAGGAUAAGAUAGGUUUGACUCAAUUAAUUUGUAAAAUUUCAAAAAUGAAGAAAGAGUAUAAAAGAAAAAAAGGGGAUUGCUAUAGUCUAUAUUUAAGCCUGUAUAUAAUUUUGCAUACUAAAUAGUUGGCAUUUUAAUUUUUCUUCUUAUUGUUAUUCAUUGACAAACUCAUUAUGUGCCUAAUUUAGCUAAUGCGGAAUUUAUUUUGAUAAUAUAGGGUGCACAACUUAGCAUUUUGAAAACAUUUCACUCAUAUUCAUACUUCAACGACUUUGAUUCAGGAAGUGGAAAGUAUUGUGGAUC
Molecule: unclassified non-coding RNA, 436 nt
Filed under: Hevea brasiliensis (rubber tree)
Lineage: Eukaryota; Viridiplantae; Streptophyta; Magnoliopsida; Malpighiales; Euphorbiaceae
Source: RNAcentral